Molecule: long non-coding RNA, 202 nt
Filed under: Mytilus galloprovincialis (Mediterranean mussel)
Lineage: Eukaryota; Metazoa; Mollusca; Bivalvia; Mytilida; Mytilidae
Source: RNAcentral
CUCUGAUCUGAUACUUUCUGCAAUGUCUUCACACACAUAUAAUAUCAAUUACUGGCAAGAUUGCACACACAAUAUUUUGUAUUUAGUAGCCUAAACCAUAAGCUUACUAUGACUACAAAAGCAUAUUACACAUUUGUUCAGCCGCAAACAACAUUGAAAUAUAAAAACACAAUUGCACUACGUUUUAAGGCACUAAAGCAAU